UUUCGCCUCCUGCACCUUGAGAGCCCUGGGCUACUCUGUCACAGCCCCUGUUGCCCUGCGAUCUGUAGGUCCUUGGGGACGCAUAGUUAAGGUGCCAGGACAUCCUGGAAGCUGGGAAAUGACCAUGGCUGGAGAAGGAAAGAAGGUGUGUUUUGCCUGAUUCAGGGACUAUAGAGAGAACCAAGUUCUGCAGGCCUGUCAUCUAAGUCUCAGGGCGGGGAGACCUUCCUUCCCCACGGGUUUGAGGCUAUGGCUAAGUGGUGAGCCUUGGUGAGACGCAGAAAGGAUCCAUCCCAGGCACUUGGCUAGAGGGCAAGAAAGCUUUCUAAGACCCCGAACUCCAGAUAUGCGAUGGGGCAAAUCCUGAAGCGUACAUGGCUAUCUCUCACAGCUAAAGCAUCCCUCACCCCUAUCCAGCGCUUCUUACCCCUGGCGCAAGAGAAUCACCUGCGGGGAGGAAAACUUUCAAAAUCCCUUAAACCCAAGUUGUAACCGCACAACUAAAUCAGAAUCCUUGGAGCUGGAUCUGAAAAAAAUAUGGUUGAAAGUCGUGCAGGUGAUUACAAUGUGUAGGCAAGCCAGAAAACCAUGGCUUU
This 596-nucleotide long non-coding RNA is filed under the name Homo sapiens (human). RNAcentral describes it as "non-protein coding lnc-U2AF1L5-162:6". Lineage: Eukaryota; Metazoa; Chordata; Mammalia; Primates; Hominidae. The record is from RNAcentral.